ACGCUUUUUGACCCAUUUGUUGACACAUAAAAGCGUCGGAGAAAACAUUUGACGCAUUGUUUGAUGCAUAAAAGCGUCGAGAAAUAGAGAAUUCACGACACUUUCUUCGUCAAGAACCUAUACACUUUUUUCGACGCCUUUUCCGUCAAGAAAACUGCUUCCCAUUUCCCACAUAUAUUAUUUGUUAAUGUUCUACAAAUUAUUAUAAUUCGAUAUGAAUGCUAAAGCUAAGUUAAACAAAUAACCAGACUUAGAUAUAUACUAUAUGUGACUAAACUUUACACAACAUUUGGUGAGGCCGCUCUUGAUCCCGAGGUGUUGGGAUACAAGUUGGAAGGUGGGGAGAUUCUUUCUAACUGCCCUCCUUACGACUUCAAGGCUAGCAACCCUCGGCAACCGAGGUUAGAGAACGCCCGGUUUUCGGCUCACGCCUUGGCCCAUAUCGACGACGUUCGGGCCGAUCCUUGGUCUCCUGAAAUUUUUGUUUAAGCGCCAUAAACGAUAGAAAGGAGAUUGAGGGAAAAUUCUGGCGCCAUUGAAAAUUGAGAGGUGAGAAACAUAAAAUUUAUUUGCGCCAUUGAAAUCUCUGGGAUCUUUUCAUUUUCUGGGUAAGUCGUCAUCAUCAAGAUGAUAUAAUUUGAAAUAGAUCAAUCUCGGCGAGCACAUGAUUUUCUUUCUUUUCUUCAUCUACCAUUUCCAGAUACGUCAGGAAGGAGAGCGCACUGUCUCUGACUUAAUCCUCUGAAGAUCCCCACCGUUGAUUUUGGUUUGAUCUCUCUCCUCAGCCACGCCCACUACCGUACGAUCCAUCUUCACCUUCCUAAUCUUCUUUACUUUCUCUCUCUUCUCUUCUCCAUCUUUUGCUUCUGAGUCAGAUCACAAGAUACCCAUUUUUAGCUUUAAUGGGAAAUUAUUGAAGAGGAAAGGAAGGAUAGGUAUUGGAAGGGAGGAGCAAUUAGGGUGCUCAGGGAUAAAUUCCCAGGGCAUCACUAAGCCUGCCAUUUGUCGUCUUACUCCCCGAGGCGGUGUCAAGAGGAUCAAUUUCUCAAUACAAGGUUCUAUAGGACAUCUAUAUUUUGAUUCCAGUUCAGGCAGAUGUAAGAAAACGACUAUUGUUUGCAUAUAGUACCUCAUUAGCUGAUCUAAAUGAUUAGCCUAGCUGCAGUAGAGGUGUCACGAGCUCACAUAAUGGGAUUUCAACUCCCCCGAUGUUUGUUUCCUUUGCGAGCAGACACUUGAGAUUGCCCAAUUUUUGGUAUUUGUAUACAGUUGUUUUUUUGUUUUUCCCUUAUGGAUCUUGUUGUUCAAGUCCUUAUAUGAAACUUGUCUGGUUAUUUAAGCAAAUGCAGAGCAUUUGUAGUUUUUUUAUGCUUAGCAGGUAAUGGCAUACAGACACCAGAAGCAAUCACAACCACCCAUGGAAUAUUACGCAGAUUUAGUGAUUUCUUAAAGCUGUUUUCAGAGGUUUAGCCCACAUAAUUUUAUUAGGGUUGGUGGGGAGUCCUGGAGAAAAUGAAAUGAUCCAAUUAUUCACAAGAAAAAGAAGAAAGUAAUUGACUCUAAUAGGAAAA
Spinacia oleracea (spinach) is the source of this 1571-nucleotide long non-coding RNA. RefSeq lists it as uncharacterized. The transcript has 4 exons. NCBI's taxonomy places the organism in Eukaryota, Viridiplantae, Streptophyta, Magnoliopsida, Caryophyllales, Amaranthaceae. The record is from RefSeq and is a predicted model, not a curated record.